This 57-nucleotide transfer RNA is filed under the name Skeletonema dohrnii. The record is from RNAcentral. Lineage: Eukaryota; Bacillariophyta; Thalassiosirophyceae; Thalassiosirales; Thalassiosiraceae.
AUAAUCUCAUGAAACAAACAUUCUUACCUACGGUGCAGCAUCAUGAUAGUAGUCCUA